GGGUAGGUCAUACUAUCUGAGGGGAGAGAGAGACCCUUCCGCCUAAUGGUUGAGUGGUAGGUCAUACUAUCUGAGGGGAGAGAGAGAGAGAGAGAGACCCUUCCCCCUAAUGGUUGAGGGUUAGGUCAUACUAUCUGAGGAGAGAGAGAGAGAGACCCUUCCCCCUAAUGGUUGAGGGGUAGGUCAUACUUUCUGAGGGGAGAGAGAGACCCUUCCCCCUAAUGGUUGAGGGUUUGGUCAUACUAUCCACCACCAUGUUUGACAGUGGGGAUGGUGUGUUCAGGGUGAUGAGCUGUGUUGCUUUUACGCCAAACAUAACGUUUUGCAUUGUUGCCAAAAAGUUCAAUUUUGGUUUCAUCUGACCAGAGCACCUUCUUCCACAUGUUUGGUGUGUCUCCCAGGUGGCAAACUUUAAACAACACUUUUUAUAGAUAUCUUUAAGAAAUGGCUUUUUUCUUGCCACUCUUCCAUAAAGGCCAGAUUUGUGCAAUAUACGACUGAUUGUUGUCCUAUGGACAGAGUCUCCCACCUCAGCUGUAGAUCUCUGCAGUUCAUCCAGAGUGAUCAUGGGCCCCUUGGCUGCAUCUCUGAUCAGUCUUCUCCUUGUAUGAGCUGAAAGUUUAGAGGGACGGCCAGGUCUUGGUAGAUUUGCAGUGGUCUGAUACUCCUUCCAAUUCAAUAUUAUCGCUUGCACAGUGCUCCUUGGGAUGUUUAAAGCUUGGGAAAUCUUUUUGUAUCCAAAUCCGGCUUUAAAAUUCUUCACAACAGUAUCUCGGACCUGCCUGGUGUGUUCCUUGUUCUUCAUGAUGCUCUCUGCACUUUUAACGGACCUCUGAGACUAUCACAGUGCAGGUGCAUUUAUACGGAGACUUGAUUACACACAGGUGGAUUGUAUUUAUCAUCAUUAGUCAUUUAGGUCAACAUUGGAUCAUUCAGAGAUCCUCACUGAACUUCUGGAGAGAGUUUGCUGCACUGAAAGUAAAGGGGCUGAAUAAUUUUACACGCCCAAUUUUUCAGUUUUUGAUUUGUUAAAAAAGUUUGAAAUAUCCAAUAAAUGUCGUUCCACUUCU
Long non-coding RNA from Oncorhynchus tshawytscha (Chinook salmon), 1070 nucleotides. The record is from Ensembl. Lineage: Eukaryota; Metazoa; Chordata; Actinopteri; Salmoniformes; Salmonidae.